This 253-nucleotide ribosomal RNA is filed under the name uncultured bacterium. RNAcentral describes it as "partial 16S ribosomal RNA". It matches the Rfam family "Bacterial small subunit ribosomal RNA", at positions 524 to 776 of the family's 1533-position model. The record is from RNAcentral.
UACGUAGGGUGCGAGCGUUAAUCGGAAUUACUGGGCGUAAAGCGGGCGCAGGCGGCUUUGUAAGUCCGGUGUGAAAUCCCCGGGCUCAACCUGGGAAUGGCAUUUGGGACUGCAAGGCUGGAGUGCGGCAGAGGAGACUGGAAUUCCUGGUGUAGCAGUGAAAUGCGUAGAUAUCAGGAGGAAUACCGAUGGCGAAGGCAGGUCUCUGGGCUGACACUGACGCUCAUGCACGAAAGCGUGGGGAGCAAACAGG